CCGCAAAAGGGAUUGAAGUGGAAAUCCUUUUUUGCGAGGGCAAAUAUAAAAUAUAAGAAUAGAGCGGCUGGAAAAAAGAUUGCAACGGAAAGCCCGACCCGAG
This 103-nucleotide small RNA is filed under the name Halpernia humi. RNAcentral describes it as "Chryseobacterium humi Flavo-1 RNA". It matches the Rfam family "Flavo-1 RNA". The record is from RNAcentral. Lineage: Bacteria; Pseudomonadati; Bacteroidota; Flavobacteriia; Flavobacteriales; Weeksellaceae.